CUCCCCUCUUUCUUUCUUUCUUUCCUUCUCGAACUCGUUUACUUAUUCGUUUUCUUAUUUCUUGGAUGGAAAAAUUGUGGCACGAAGAAGGAUCGUUUCUCUUUUCGCACUGGCCCAUCCCGUUUAAGCAUUCGUUUUCUAGUUUUCUAAAUAUUUCGGAUAGAUUCGAAUUGUAUAUAAUUUGGAAUUAUUAAGCCGGGGAUGAGUUGUGGAACAAUCGUGUUUCGGUUGAUGGUUUUACGAAAGCGAGCAAAUGGCGGAAAGGAGGGAGGGGAGGGGGGAUACGCGUUUUAUGUUCGGAACGGUUUUGCGGGCCGGCGAUCCUGCUGUUGAUCGUUUCAAAUUGAAAUCCAUUAUAUCGGGCAUGGAACGAGAUAACGAGAUUCCAUUUUGUUUUUCCAUUUUUCGCUGUUUCGAAAUCAGGAUCGAGAAUUUUUUACGAAGAAUUUUAAAUCUCGAAACGAUCAAUUUAUUCGUAACGAUUCGUUGAUUUGUUGUAAUUAAUUUGUUGUGAUUAUACAUUUUUAUACAUAAUUGUAUAUAUUAUACGUAUAUAAAUUAUGCGUGAUUUACUAUAAUUAUUAGAACGAAAAGAGAGACACGUGCGUAUCGUUUCUGUGUCCGACAGACGACACCGUGCGAUCGUUCGAAUUUGACAACAAUAACGGUCGAUGUUUACAUUUCGCGCGCGGUCGAAUUUUGUUUCCAUAACAUUCCGCGAGUGGCUCGUCGACGCUCGUAAUAUGUUAGUCGCUUACGAACUUCGCUCACGAACUUUUCGUUCUCGCACGCGUCGUCGAUAAAAAUUAUUAUUUGCGAUAAUGUGUAACCGGUCGGUAUUAAAAAACGAUCGAAAGGAAAAAGAGAAGGGAUCGAUCACGAACAAUCGGCGAAGGCAAAGGAGAGACUCCGUGGCCCCGUCUCGCUCUCGUCCAUGACGCAGCCGCGUAAAUGAUGGCGCCCAACAUUAUCUAUUGUGCGCCCAUUCCAUUUAAUAUUGUAUUCCAUAACGCAAACAAAGGUGCUGUCAACGACUAAUGAAGAUCGUAUGACCCGGGACGAUCUCGCCGGGAUGGAGGAUAUAAUAAUUCAAACGGGAUGCCUGGACCACUUACAAAUGGCCGACGAAACGGACCUAAGGGUUCGCACGCGAGAGAAAGAUAUCGAGGGUCGCGAAUUCAAGGACACGUGGAAUUAAUCGUUGCAAGAAUUAUCGCGAAUCACCACUGAAUUCCUCCUUCCUGUCUUCCCCUUCUCCUCCUUCCAUAUUUACCAAUUCCACGAUUUCUUGAUAAAGUUGCGGAGGGGAGGGGGAUGCUAUUUCUCUUCCAUCCUGGUCGAAGGUGGAAGCAAGGAUGAUCAAUUAAUACGAUAGAUUCGAGCGGAAUUAAAAUUUUAUUAUUAUUAUUAUUAUUGUUAUCUUGUUGUUGCUAUUUAAAAAUUGGUGGAAAUUUGGUGGAAAUAGGGAAGGGUGUAGUUAUUGGGAUCAAGGGUUGGUUCAUGGUGGUAAUUACAGGGUGGAAAAACGAAUCGAAAAAUGGGGGAGAGAUGGAAGAGAAACUUUUCCACCCUCGAUCCCGAACUUCGUCACAUUCAUCAUUGUUCUUGCCAACCGACCUUCUUUUCCUUUCUUCGAUUUCUUUUUCUCCUUACUGGGGAGGCCACCUCGUAAAUUCGGAAACACGGCGAAGAUUCCUCGCGAUGACACACUUAACCGCCGUUGCCACGCAAAAAACUGCGACGGGAUCUACUGCAAAUCCUGCUUCAACUUGUGCAUGUAUACAGAAAGAGAGAAAGAGAGAGAAAUUUCGAACGCGAUAUACACGCUGGAAACAAAAGGGAUGAAAUAUUUCUUGGCGCGGAAAGUUGAGGAAAAUUCCAGGAAGGAGAUCUUCCAUCAUCCAGGAAAUUUUUCGGUUACAAAAUAAAAUAAAAUUGAAAAAAAUACGAAUACAGUAAAUUAAUAAUUGUUUGGUUAUUCGAAAAUUUAGAUGAAUAAUUUUGAUUGUGAAUAAAUUUGUACUUUUUUAUAUAUACGUGGAACAAUAUCUUUGUUGGAAAAUUAAAGAGAGAUCUUUCAAAAAACGA
This is a long non-coding RNA of Apis cerana (Asiatic honeybee), 2088 nucleotides long. RefSeq lists it as uncharacterized. NCBI's taxonomy places the organism in Eukaryota, Metazoa, Arthropoda, Insecta, Hymenoptera, Apidae. The record is from RefSeq and is a predicted model, not a curated record.